Molecule: ribosomal RNA, 254 nt
Filed under: Acidobacterium sp.
Lineage: Bacteria; Pseudomonadati; Acidobacteriota; Terriglobia; Terriglobales; Acidobacteriaceae
Also listed under: 2 other names
Description: partial 16S ribosomal RNA
Rfam family: Bacterial small subunit ribosomal RNA
Source: RNAcentral
UACGGGGGGAGCAAGCGUUGUUCGGAUUUACUGGGCGUAAAGGGCGCGUAGGCGGUCAGCACAAGUCAGUUGUGAAAUCUCCGGGCUUAACUCGGAAAGGUCAACUGAUACUGUGCGACUAGAGUGCAGAAGGGGCAACUGGAAUUCUCGGUGUAGCGGUGAAAUGCGUAGAUAUCGAGAGGAACACCUGCGGCGAAGGCGGGUUGCUGGGCUGACACUGACGCUGAUGCGCGAAAGCCAGGGGAGCGAACGGG